UACGUAGGGUGCAAGCGUUGUCCGGAAUUAUUGGGCGUAAAGAGCUCGUAGGUGGCCUGUCGCGUCGGCUGUGAAAACUCGGGGCUCAACUCCGAGCUUGCAGUCGAUACGGGCAGGCUAAGAGUUCGGCAGGGGAGACUGAAAUUCCAGGUGUAGCGGUGAAAUGCGUAGAUAUCUGGAGGAAUACCGGUGGCGAAGGCGGCAUCCUGGACCGGCAUUGACGCUGAGGAGCGAAAGCCAGGGGAGCCAAAGCGGGG
Molecule: ribosomal RNA, 257 nt
Filed under: uncultured bacterium
Lineage: Bacteria
Description: partial 16S ribosomal RNA
Rfam family: Bacterial small subunit ribosomal RNA
Source: RNAcentral